GCCGGUUUAGCUUAGUGGUAGAGCGUUGCACUUGUACCCCCCCAUCGACAUAUUCAGCAUGCAAAGGUCGGUUGUUCAAUCCAGCCAACCGGCA
This 94-nucleotide transfer RNA is filed under the name Moniliophthora perniciosa FA553. It matches the Rfam family "tRNA". Rfam says of the family: Transfer RNA (tRNA) molecules are approximately 80 nucleotides in length. Their secondary structure includes four short double-helical elements and three loops (D, anti-codon, and T loops). Further hydrogen bonds mediate the characteristic L-shaped molecular structure. tRNAs have two regions of fundamental functional importance: the anti-codon, which is responsible for specific mRNA codon recognition, and the 3' end, to which the tRNAs corresponding amino acid is attached (by aminoacyl-tRNA synthetases). tRNAs cope with the degeneracy of the genetic code in two manners: having more than one tRNA (with a specific anti-codon) for a particular amino acid; and 'wobble' base-pairing, i.e. permitting non-standard base-pairing at the 3rd anti-codon position. Lineage: Eukaryota; Fungi; Basidiomycota; Agaricomycetes; Agaricales; Marasmiaceae. The record is from Rfam by way of RNAcentral.